This 260-nucleotide unclassified non-coding RNA is filed under the name Hevea brasiliensis (rubber tree). Lineage: Eukaryota; Viridiplantae; Streptophyta; Magnoliopsida; Malpighiales; Euphorbiaceae. The record is from RNAcentral.
CAGCAGGACAAAUUUUGGUAUCAGGUCCCAAAAGCUCCUUAACAAUGUGAUGAACAAUCUUCCCAGGAACCAUCUUCUGCUUCAAAAGUUCUCCAAUCAAACGGAUGUUUCCAAGGGUACGAAGCUUGACCAAUCUUUCCUUGUCCCUGCGUUCAAGCUCUUGCUCUGGAGCUGUCAUCUGCCAAACUUCCUGCCACUGUUUAUCAGCACCCUCAAAUGCCUCCUGGCAGAUAUUCAGGAGAACUCGCUUGAAUGUGAUU